Molecule: long non-coding RNA, 849 nt
Organism: Canis lupus familiaris (dog)
Lineage: Eukaryota; Metazoa; Chordata; Mammalia; Carnivora; Canidae
Exons: 3
Source: RefSeq, a predicted model, not a curated record
GACACUCCUUUGUAAGAUGCCCCCAGAGCCUUCCCAUUCCUGGAACUGGUGCUUAGGGAAUCAUCUAGACCAAGUUACUUAAAGGCUGAGAUAGUAGUUGGUAUAGCUUGUACAAGGUCUUUCUCAGCAGAGUUCAUACCCCCCCCCCUUUUUUUUAGUUCAUACCCUUUUGAUAAUUUGAAUAAUUAAGGGAUUUCUGGGAGGCCACAUUAUCUCAGACCCACACCUUCUUUUGUGCACUGUCCCUCACUACCAUCCCCUCCUUGAGGAGGUCCUUAGCAUAGGCUCGAUCUUGGAAUGGGAAAUCCGAAUCACUGCCAGCCACUGAGCUUCACCUCCAUCCACCGUUGGCUUGUGGCCUUCUCUGAACUGUGCAAGAGGGGAAAGCUGGAUGGAACCCCUCCUCUGGGUGCACCUGCUGGCACGAGCUAAAGAACCACACGCCAUCACACUCUACUUGACAAGCAGAAUCCAUCCCUAAAAUUAAAACAUUCCUGACCUAUCUGCAAUGACAAGGCAGGCGAGCUUCACGGCGCUCCGGCCCAUGAAGGGAGCUGACACAUUUGUUUUUAAUUUCAAAAGAGUAGAAAGUGAAGAUCUGACCCCGUCAAUCAAGCCCCGUGACAAGUUUAAUCAUUGGUGCCCCACAAAAAUCACGGCUAAAUAGGAAUGCAAAUACUGUAUCACAGGGCUCUUAUAAAUGCUAAUCAAGGAGAAGUAAUCAACUGACAAUUUCACUGAUCUCUUUUCUGAAGAAGUCACCCAAUGCUCUGUCUCUGGGCCACAAAGAGAAGAGAACAGGACAAAAGGGAUGGAUGAGGUCCCCCCAACCUUCCUUUUAUUUUUUCC